Molecule: ribosomal RNA, 262 nt
Filed under: uncultured bacterium
Lineage: Bacteria
Description: partial 16S ribosomal RNA
Rfam family: Bacterial small subunit ribosomal RNA
Source: RNAcentral
GUCCAUGCCGUAAACGUUGGGCACUAGGUGUGGGGGACAUUCCACGUUCUCCGCGCCGUAGCUAACGCAUUAAGUGCCCCGCCUGGGGAGUACGGCCGCAAGGCUAAAACUCAAAGGAAUUGACGGGGGCCCGCACAAGCGGCGGAGCAUGCGGAUUAAUUCGAUGCAACGCGAAGAACCUUACCAAGGCUUGACAUGCACCGGACGGCCGCAGAAAUGUGGCUUUCUUCGGACUGGUGCACAGGUGGUGCAUGGUUGUCGU